AGCUUUUCAACCGAGCUUAGUGCUGAACAUUUUUUUCAUAUUCCAUCGGCUCACAUAUUCCGUGAAGGAAUUCUAUUAUGCUGGAAUUUGAGGAUGAAAGUAUUUUUAGGAGAGUUUGUUAUGUUGUGGAGCAUUAUCCUGUCGUAAUUUGCUCCAUAUCCUCAACUGAAUGUUCUUCCCCUCUACAUUUUAGUGCCGAAGAAAGCUUUUGACACAGCAAUGUGAUUUGGAGGAAAACGGUCAAUCUGUAUCAUCUCCAUUUGCAGAAAGAAUUAUUAUCAAGCCGCCUGCAACCCCCAGCACCAGCAUCCUCAUCAAACCACGGCUACCGCUGCAGACUCCACUUCAGUGGUCAGCUCAGAGGUCUGCUCAGCUUCAGAGGUCUGCUCUGCUUCAGAGGUCACUGGAGCAGAUUCUCCAUCUUCCGCAGCCGGCACCAAUGGGGAACAAUGGGGAAACAAUGGGGACUGGAUGGAGGUGCUGAACGAAUCGAUGUGCCAACAAUUGAAAAGGGGGCAAUUGAAAGGUAAUCAAAUUACCAAAGUGACAGAGGAUCUCCUCCAGAUGAUGAUUUGGAAAAAAAAUUAACAAAGUUUUGGUGGAAAGCAAAAACUGUUUGAUGGUUAGCAGAUUUCUUAGGUAAUUAUAAAGAGGCAGUCGAACAUACACUGGCGGAUCUGUGGCUGUCCUUGCUUGAUCAACUACACUGGCUCACAGCCC
Molecule: long non-coding RNA, 720 nt
Filed under: Bemisia tabaci
Lineage: Eukaryota; Metazoa; Arthropoda; Insecta; Hemiptera; Aleyrodidae
Description: lncRNA ENSSSA2NGG001558
Source: RNAcentral